Gallus gallus (chicken) is the source of this 401-nucleotide long non-coding RNA. RefSeq lists it as uncharacterized. The transcript is spliced from 2 exons. Lineage: Eukaryota; Metazoa; Chordata; Aves; Galliformes; Phasianidae. The record is from RefSeq and is a predicted model, not a curated record.
AUUGCAGCUGAGAUAACAGGAGCUGAGACAGCAACAUCGGAGUGGAGUUUCUCAGACCCCACAGCUGGGGUUUCACAGCACCAAGAGCUGCAGCUGGAAGUAAAGAUGGCUUUUCAGGGUCUGUCCACUGAAGGUAGAAGGACUCGCUACUCUUCUUCAUAAUUUGGAGCUGUUUUUCCUCAAUGAAACCAGACACAAAGCCAGUGAUGGAUAGCCUCAUACCAGAAGGCCUUUUCAGCAGCCCGUGCGGCGUUGCCAUACAGUGAGAAGGAUGCUUGGCCCAUGAAGUCAAGUGCAGUGCUAAAGAUUGAUCUGUUCUAGAAUUCCUGUCUGAUGCACUGACCAUUAAGUUAUGCAAACAUGUUAAUUCACAACACAGAAUAAAGCAAUUGCCUCCUGCC